Chelonia mydas (Green sea turtle) is the source of this 4823-nucleotide long non-coding RNA. RefSeq lists it as uncharacterized. The record is from RefSeq and is a predicted model, not a curated record. NCBI's taxonomy places the organism in Eukaryota, Metazoa, Chordata, Testudines, Cheloniidae. The transcript is spliced from 3 exons.
CCGUGUAUAUAAUGUCUUCUGCAAUUUCCACAGUAUGCAUCCGAUGAAGUGAGCUGUAGCUCACGAAAGCUCAUGCUCAAAUAAAUUGGUUAGUCUCUAAGGUGCCACAAGUCCUCCUUUUCUACUUACUACUUGAUAACCAGCCCACCCACAAAUCAAUGACUAGAGCGGAAUCAUUCAAAGCGUUCCCAGUGAAGUACAACUGGAGCACAGUUCUGGUGUCCAGAAAAAGUGUUUGAACAGGGUAAGAUAUUUGGUCAGUUACUUUACAACAUACUGGUGUUUAGAAACUUCAAGUUCUGGUACAAUUUCACCAGCAACUUUGCAAUCCUACCAAAGCUCCCCAACUUAAAUGUUUGACAUCCAUUAGGCAAUUUUCAUAAAAGUAAUCUUCCUGACCUAGUUUCACAAACAGAUUCCAAGGCCAGAUGGGACCACUGUGAUCAUGUAGGGAGUCUGACUUCCUGUAGAACAUGUCAGAUCUUUCCUAUCCAGUGUUGAUUUUCAAAAUGGUCAGUGAAGAAGAAUCCACCACAAUGGUAAAUUACUCAUCAUUAAAACUUUACACCUUAUUUCCAGGCAGAAGUUGGCUAGCUUCAAAUUGCAACCAUUGGACAAUGUUAUACCUUUCUUAGCUAGAUUGAAGUUAUUAAAUAUUUGUUGCCCAGGGCUCCUUUCUCUCCAAUUUGUCAACAUCCUUCUUGAAUUGCACCAGAAUUAGACACUGUAUUCCAGCAGCAGUCACAUCAGUGCCAAAUACAAAGGUAAAAUAACCUCCUGUUCUUACUCAGGAGUCCUGGAAGCAGUGACUGAAAAAGAUAGUCUGCCAUCCUGCAAGUAUGGCCCAACAGUUCUUUAAAAGCUCUGCAGAAGUAAACGAUUAGCCACAAAGAGGAUUCAGGAAUGCUACUACUGCUAAAGAAGCUGUAGCAUCUCUGAAGUCUCUAGCCCUUGCCUUAGUCACGUCAAAACAUUUGUCACUUUAACCAAAUGUUCUGACAUUCCCUUUGAAUGUAAAUCCAUUCAAGUUUACUUACUGUGGCUUUGUCUGCUAUUCUCAGGCUUGUAGUUCCCAAAGGAUGCAGCUCAAGUUCUGUCUUCAGCAUCCACUGAAGGAGAUGUAGCAGUUAGGAAUUACAAGUCCAUCGCGCUACUGAAACUCAUCUUAAAAUAGUGCAUGUCACCUGUUGGUUGUCCACUAUUCUCAAAAUAUAUCUGAAAGUUAAAAUUACUUAAAUCUUAUAAAAGAUAGUAUACAAAACUUGAAGGGGGAAGGAGUGAAAGAGACAUGGCCAACCGUAAGUUUGGAUUUCCCACACAAUUGUUUUUGAAACUGCAAUAUUCUGGGAGACGACAUUGCAGCUUCACAAUUUUUCCCUUUUGUCUGGUCCUAUAUGGGAACAGCAAUUUCAGAGUUACCUAGUUUAAAAGAAGUUGGCCCUCAAUUAAGCUGAGCAAACAUUUGAAUUCAGCUAGGCCUCAUUCUUGUGUCCUGUGUAUUUGUAUCUUUGAAAGUACCCAGAAAGCUUGACUCUACAGUUCACUGGAAGGGUUAUCACCACCAGAAUUGCACUAAGCCAUCUCAGGCUGGGAUCUUCUUAACUUCAGCCCUCAGCUUGUUGAACGCCAAGUGCAGUGCAAAGGGAAAGUUCAUUAUUUAUAUACUGAAAUUUGGGACAUUAGUACUUUAACUGAGGGCUUUGAGACUGCACUGGAACACAAAGUACUUAGAGAAAUGUCAGUUUAUGAAUAGCACGGCUGCAAUCAUAACAAAAACUCUGUUGUGACAUUACACAAGAUUUUAGGCCUGAAUUUAGCAGAAUAUCUUUACCACCACCACCACUUAAAGAUUUCAGUUCACAUUUUCAGCUAAACAUUAGCUAUAUAUUUGAUCUGCACAAAUCAUUACCUGUCAUUCGGAUGAAACAGAACUUCAUACUAAAAGUCUUUAAUAACACCAAGCAGAAGAGAAGAGACUGUAAAAGUAAAGAUAUUCAAGAACCCCAGUGAAAUCAGAAUGUUAAUACUGGUGUCUAAAAUAUCCAACUGCUUAUAACCAAACCAGAUUGGGAGGAUCACUAUUUUGAGAAAAUAAGGUCAAAAAUCACAUGGCAAAUGCACUGCUUUAAUACUGGCAUGUUAUUAAGAAAGUCAUAUAAAAGAGACUCAAGUAUUCAGUACAUUACAUAUUUCUACAGCAUGCACUUACCACAUUAACAGCAGCAAAGGUCAAGCAGGGUUACUUUUUAAAAGUCAUUAAGGGUCUUCCCAUAGAGUUUUAUAAACAGUAUUAAUGUACAUAUAGAGCUGAAAAAACAUGACAUUUGUUUCUCCCCCCCUCCCCAAAAAAUAUAUACAGCUAGCCAUUUUCAUUAAUAAAUUUAUUCUGUCCUGCUGAACCCUGAAAAGAGGGAAUGUCUGGCACAAAAAAAAAAAAAAUCUACAAAUGGAGAACAAAGAACUUUUAAAAGUAACUUUUGAAGUAAGAUUAUAAAAACAUUUAUGAAAAAGAUAAAACUUACAGCAAUUGAAGUGGUUUACACAUUUGGGGUGGCAUGGUUGCAUUUGUCUCAAACCAACUUACCAAUAUUUGUGGGUGCCUAAAAGCAUUGACAUUAAAAUCAAUCAAAAGCUAAAAUAUAAAUAAAACUUGAAGAGGUGCUCCAAGAACAGCUCAAUAAAGCAAUUCACCGUAACUCAGUAGACAUAAUCCAUAAAAAUAAUAGUUUCCCAUGAGUAUCAGGGAAGUAGGCACUAACUGGAAAACACUCUGAGUCUUGGUGUUGCAGUUUGUAACUGAAAGUCCAUCUCUUGUUACUACUGUGCCAUACUCCAUACCUUUUAAAAAUGUACCCCAAAAAUUUCUUUGAAAGUAUGUAAAAACUGUUACGUUGUCUUUCUGAAUCCCUUUAAAAUUGGAUAUAUAUUUUCAAAUGCUUCAUAAAUUUCUGCUCUGACUUUAGCACCUAGAAACAAAAAAAUUAGAAAGUACAUUUUGUGACAGUUAUAACGUACUUAUAUUUCACAAUUAAUUAGUUUUGAUCCAGAUACUGUACAGAUGAGGCAGCUUCCAAUCGCACUUACACUAUCUCUUCCCUGUUUGCCCUCUUUCCCUACACUAUUGGGAUUGCUUUAGAUUUGCAAUUUUUGUUGGCUUGUUUUCUGUUAUCAUGAUUGAAUAGUUUCAUACGUCUAAUAGAGUAUAAUUGUAUUUAUACCUGAGUGUUGAAUACUUGUAGUUUAUAGAUUUCCAGUAGGCAUUUCCUUGUUAUAACUUCAUAUAAUUUUAUUCAGAAGAAAGGCUUUUAGAACACAGUGUAAAAAUAACUAUAGCCUAUAACCCAUUUUUGCUCUCAGCAUGUCCACCACACCAACAAACUGAGUAGUAAAUAAUACACAAAUGAAACUUCAGAAUUUAAAACCUUUCCAAAUCAGAGAAGUGUAGUUUAGCAUUCUAAAGACACUCCAACUAAGAAAGAUGUAUGUUCCUGGUUUUGUAGCCUAACCCUAGACUGUUAAAAGCAUCAAUGUUGGCUUGGUUACUUACCAGUUAAAACCACCUUUCCAGAAACAAAAAUAAGCAGGACAAUUCUUGGCUUUAUCAUUCGGUAGAUUAAGCCAGGAAACAACUCUGGCUCAUAACUGAAAGGAAAGAGAGAAGGUCAAGCAAAUGCACAAACUAAUCUGAAAGUGAUGUUAGCUGAUCAGAUUCACUCUCCCCAUGUUUAGCAACAGAAAACAGCUAUCCCACCUUCACCUUUUUUUUUUUUUUUGGGCGGGGGGCGGCGGGGGGGGGGGAGAAGGCUCCACAAAGGUUUAGUGGGAAGGAUUUGCCUCUGGUUUUGUCAGCCAGAUGCUAAGGAACAAGAGGAAUCAAGGUGUAGGAUACUCCCAAUCUGCAACGGAACAAUCUAACCAGUACAGUACACCCUUUGAGAUCACUAGGUCAAGUGUUCAGCAAUAAUGAAUCAUACUAAGCUUUUUUAUUUACCUGCUAAACUGUUGAUGUGUAAGUACCAAUCCCUCUAAUCUGAUAGGAAAUUUCACAUCACAGCUUCCCACCAUGUUCUGAAUCUUAAAAUCCAAGAAUUUUGCUGGAAAGCCCAAUUUUUGAACAACUCUGGCAUAUUUCCUUGCUGCCAAUCUGGACUGCUCCUCGCUGAAGGGAGAGAAGACAUUCAUUGUAUUCCCUCAUGUUUCAGAGUAGCAGCCGUGUUAGUCUGUAUUCGCAAAAAGAAAAGGAGGACUUGUGGCACCUUAGAGACUAACCAAUUUAUUUGAGCAUAAGCUUUCGUGAGCUACAGCUCACUUCAUCGGAUGCAUGCAGUACUUCAACCCAAACCUUAAAUAAGAGAACACCCUUAUUUUGAAGGGUCACUACAAAUUUAACACAACAAUUCUUCUUUCUCCCAAGCUCAUUCUUUUUCGUCACAUGCCUUGGGGCCUAUUGCUCAUGCUAAUAACUCAAUUUAAAAUCAUCAUUCACCCGAUCUAAUGUGGAGCUAUUAUCCUACAACCACACUACACUUCCUUGUAAAUGCAGAUGAAUGGCUUGAAAGCUAGAGAUACUAUAAAUUCCUUAAAAGGUUUUUAGAUUAAACAAUAAAGGUUGAUAAACAUUGUUUUGAUGAUAAUUCAGAGUGUAUAACAAAUCCCUCAUCUUGAUUAUCCAAGUUCAAACUUUACGUAGCCUACCUACCUUAAAAACAACAAUAGCAUCAUGCUGUUGCCCCAAACUACUCUUGCUGAGGUCACAUCCCACUUACAUGUGGUUGUGUAACUAAUGUUUUGCCUUUAUGGAAAUAAGCUAUAGUACAACUAUG